This is a long non-coding RNA of Stegostoma tigrinum, 1311 nucleotides long. RefSeq lists it as uncharacterized. The record is from RefSeq and is a predicted model, not a curated record. NCBI's taxonomy places the organism in Eukaryota, Metazoa, Chordata, Chondrichthyes, Orectolobiformes, Stegostomatidae. The transcript has 4 exons.
UCAGUGAAAACCACGUGAUCAUCCACGAGUGCGGUGCAGAGUCGCUGAGAUAACCGGAACUGCAGAUGCUGGAGAAUCCGAGAUAACACGGUGUGCAGCUGGAUGUACACAGCAGGUCAAGCAGGAAAGCUGACGUUUCGGGCCUAGAUCCUUCGCUGAGACCAAGAUUUGUGCAAUUGAGAUACCAGCGAUCGUUGCCAAAGCCCUGUUCCCUGUGGAGAAGGUGAUGUUUAACUUUCGUGUGCUGCUUCAGUUUGUAUGAUAAAGGUGCUCUCACAAUGCUCCAUUUGAGAAGUUACAGAUCAUUCAUCUAGCGAUACUGAAGAGCUAAUGGUGAUAUUACAAGUGGACUUUCAGGUAGGAAGCUCAAUAAUUGUAACACCAAACUCUGACAGAAUUACUCAAUUCAUCAGGACCUGGAUAUUCGCAUUGUGUAUUCCCACAAUUUUACUUCUGCACUAUUCUUAGUCUUUCAGAGGGAUCGAAAGGUUGAGUUACAGAUCUAUACAAUGACUGUCCUUCCUCGCUGGCUUCCCCCACCUCUCUUUUGGUAGUUUUAUGCAAACACUGACUGGAUCCCUUACCUGGAGGAUAUUUAUGAAUGAAUUUGUUCUAAUGGUGAUCCAGUAUUUUCCCCAAGUAUCGCUCCACACAUGCCCAGAGAAUUUCUCAGUUUCACAAUCUGUGUCCUUCUGGUUUCUUACUCGCUACACUUAACUUUCUGUUUGAAAGUAUAGUCUGCAGUUGGAGAAUUUUAACAGGUCCACAUCCAGGUCUGACGGUCACUUUGUUUAUCACAACCCAAUUAUCUCAGGGUUUUGAACAAUGAAGGAAAACGCAGCACUCACAUUGGGGAGAAAUGCACAUGGUGUGUGUGUUGAAGAGUCUGUGAAGAUUCAUCUGAAAUGUCCGAACACCAGUGCAGUGACACUGGGAGACAGUGUGGAAAUGUGCAGAUUGCAGGAAGGAAUUUCUUCAUCCAUCCCAGCUAGAAACUGACCACCAGAGUCACACUGGAGAGAGACCAUUGACCUGUUCUGCAUGAGGGAAAGGCUUUGCUGAUUCGAAUUCCCCGCUGAUACACCAGCGAGUUCACUCUGGGGAGAGACCUUUCAUGAGCUCUGAGUGUGGGAAGGGAUUCAUUGUCAUCCAAACUGUUAACACACCAGCGAGUUCACAGACAACAACAGUUGAAGAACUUUGCUGUCACUCUCACUAUCAAAUGAACCAUGGUUUUGGGCUGUUUGUACAGAUGUUACCGAUCCCUGCUCAAUUAAAGGUGCUGGUAUUGUGAAUAAAAUGUCACACUAA